Molecule: ribosomal RNA, 880 nt
Filed under: Lacticaseibacillus paracasei
Lineage: Bacteria; Bacillati; Bacillota; Bacilli; Lactobacillales; Lactobacillaceae
Description: bacterial SSU rRNA
Rfam family: Bacterial small subunit ribosomal RNA
Source: RNAcentral
AUGAACGCUGGCGGCGUGCCUAAUACAUGCAAGUCGAACGAGUUCUCGUUGAUGAUCGGUGCUUGCACCGAGAUUCAACAUGGAACGAGUGGCGGACGGGUGAGUAACACGUGGGUAACCUGCCCUUAAGUGGGGGAUAACAUUUGGAAACAGAUGCUAAUACCGCAUAGAUCCAAGAACCGCAUGGUUCUUGGCUGAAAGAUGGCGUAAGCUAUCGCUUUUGGAUGGACCCGCGGCGUAUUAGCUAGUUGGUGAGGUAACGGCUCACCAAGGCGAUGAUACGUAGCCGAACUGAGAGGUUGAUCGGCCACAUUGGGACUGAGACACGGCCCAAACUCCUACGGGAGGCAGCAGUAGGGAAUCUUCCACAAUGGACGCAAGUCUGAUGGAGCAACGCCGCGUGAGUGAAGAAGGCUUUCGGGUCGUAAAACUCUGUUGUUGGAGAAGAAUGGUCGGCAGAGUAACUGUUGUCGGCGUGACGGUAUCCAACCAGAAAGCCACGGCUAACUACGUGCCAGCAGCCGCGGUAAUACGUAGGUGGCAAGCGUUAUCCGGAUUUAUUGGGCGUAAAGCGAGCGCAGGCGGUUUUUUAAGUCUGAUGUGAAAGCCCUCGGCUUAACCGAGGAAGCGCAUCGGAAACUGGGAAACUUGAGUGCAGAAGAGGACAGUGGAACUCCAUGUGUAGCGGUGAAAUGCGUAGAUAUAUGGAAGAACACCAGUGGCGAAGGCGGCUGUCUGGUCUGUAACUGACGCUGAGGCUCGAAAGCAUGGGUAGCGAACAGGAUUAGAUACCCUGGUAGUCCAUGCCGUAAACGAUGAAUGCUAGGUGUUGGAGGGUUUCCGCCCUUCAGUGCCGCAGCUAACGCAUUAAGCAUCCGCC